GUGCCAGCCGCCGCGGUAAUACGGGGGGGGCAAGCGUUGUUCGGAAUUACUGGGCGUAAAGGGUGCGUAGGCGGCUUUCUAAGUUGGAUGUGAAAACUCUGGGCUCAACCCAGAGACUGCAUCCAAAACUGGGAGGCUAGGGUCCUGGAGGGGAGAGCGGAAUUCCUGGUGUAGCGGUGAAAUGCGUAGAUAUCAGGAGGAACACCGGUGGCGAAGGCGGCUCUCUGGACAGGUACCGACGCUGAGGCACGAAAGCUAGGGGAGCAAACAGGAUUAGAUACCCCAGUAGUCC
Molecule: ribosomal RNA, 292 nt
Filed under: uncultured bacterium
Lineage: Bacteria
Description: partial 16S ribosomal RNA
Rfam family: Bacterial small subunit ribosomal RNA
Source: RNAcentral